Molecule: ribosomal RNA, 424 nt
Filed under: uncultured bacterium
Lineage: Bacteria
Description: bacterial SSU rRNA
Rfam family: Bacterial small subunit ribosomal RNA
Source: RNAcentral
GGGGAAUAUUGGACAAUGGGCGAAAGCCUGAUCCAGCCAUGCCGCGUGUGUGAAGAAGGUCUUCGGAUUGUAAAGCACUUUAAGUUGGGAGGAAGGGCAGUUACCUAAUACGUAAUUGUUUUGACGUUACCGACAGAAUAAGCACAGGCUAACUCUGUGCCAGCAGCCGCGGUAAUACAGAGGGUGCAAGCGUUAAUCGGAAUUACUGGGCGUAAAGCGCGCGUAGGUGGUUCGUUAAGUUGGAUGUGAAAGCCCCGGGCUCAACCUGGGAACUGCAUUCAAAACUGUCGAGCUAGAGUAUGGUAGAGGGUGGUGGAAUUUCCUGUGUAGCGGUGAAAUGCGUAGAUAUAGGAAGGAACACCAGCGGCGAAGGCGACCACCUGGACUGAUACUGACACUGAGGUGCGAAAGCGUGGGGAGCAAA